AUUGAACGCUGGCGGCAUGCCUUACACAUGCAAGUCGAACGGCAGCACGGGAGCAAUCCUGGUGGCGAGUGGCGAACGGGUGAGUAAAGUAUCGGAACGUGCCCAGUCGUGGGGGAUAACGUAGCGAAAGUUACGCUAAUACCGCAUACGAUCUAUGGAUGAAAGCGGGGGAUCGCAAGACCUCGCGCGAUUGGAGCGGCCGAUAUCAGAUUAGGUAGUUGGUGGGGUAAAGCCCCACCAAGCCGACGAUCUGUAGCUGGUCUGAGAGGACGACCAGCCACACUGGGACUGAGACACGGCCCAAACUCCGACGGAGGGCAGCAGGGGGGAAUUUGGACAAUGGGCGAACGCCUGAUCCAGCCAUGCCGCGUGCAGGAUGAAGGCCUUCGGGUUGUAAACUGCUUUUGUACGGAACGAAAAGGACUGCCCUAAUACGGUGGUCCCAUGACGUUACCGUAAGAAUAAGCACCGGCUAACUACGUGCCAGCCGCCGCCGUAA
RNAcentral lists this ribosomal RNA (499 nucleotides) under uncultured bacterium. Its description in RNAcentral is "partial 16S ribosomal RNA". It matches the Rfam family "Bacterial small subunit ribosomal RNA", at positions 29 to 523 of the family's 1533-position model. The record is from RNAcentral.